Molecule: ribosomal RNA, 172 nt
Filed under: Bacillus subtilis
Lineage: Bacteria; Bacillati; Bacillota; Bacilli; Caryophanales; Bacillaceae
Description: partial 16S ribosomal RNA
Rfam family: Bacterial small subunit ribosomal RNA
Source: RNAcentral
CGCGGCGUCUAUCAGGCAGUCGAGCGGACAGAUGGGAGCUUGCUCCCUGAUGUUAGCGGCGGACGGGUGAGUAACACGUGGGUAACCUGCCUGUAAGACUGGGAUAACUCCGGGAAACCGGUUCCUAAUACCGGAUGGUUGUUUGAACCGCAUGGUUCAAACAUAAAAGGUG